RNAcentral lists this non-coding RNA (45 nucleotides) under Schistosoma curassoni. Lineage: Eukaryota; Metazoa; Platyhelminthes; Trematoda; Strigeidida; Schistosomatidae. The record is from RNAcentral.
AUCCAUUUGACGAGUCCCAAAUAGGACGAAACGCGCAUCCUGAAU